AACUUUCAGCAGUGGAUGUCUAGGCUCGCACAUCGAUGAAGAACGCUGCGAACUGCGAUACGUAAUGCGAAUUGCAGGAUUCAGUGAGUCAUCGAAAUUUUGAACGCAUAUUGCACUUCCGGGUUAGUCCUGGAAGUAUGCCUGUAUCA
Molecule: ribosomal RNA, 149 nt
Filed under: Phytophthora infestans T30-4
Lineage: Eukaryota; Oomycota; Peronosporomycetes; Peronosporales; Peronosporaceae
Description: 5.8S ribosomal RNA
Rfam family: 5.8S ribosomal RNA
About the family: 5.8S ribosomal RNA (5.8S rRNA) is a component of the large subunit of the eukaryotic ribosome.
Source: RNAcentral